GAGGUUCAAGUAUAUACAAAAAUGUCUACUACAACACUCGCUCCAGCGAGUACCCAGACAACAAUCAUAUGUACAUAAAUAUCCUAAACUUACCUGUGAAAGGUACUCCUCUAGCCCUGCAACUCGUCUGGACGGAAUCUAGCUCGCAACUCCCUUUCCACGAUCAAUAUCAGGAAGAGCAGCAGCCACAGAAGAUGACUCUGCAAAAAAGGGUCAACAACUGGGUGUGAGAACUACUGCAAAAAAAAGUAGUCUUCAGUGGGUACCGCUACUGACCUCAA
Molecule: long non-coding RNA, 281 nt
Filed under: Ananas comosus (pineapple)
Lineage: Eukaryota; Viridiplantae; Streptophyta; Magnoliopsida; Poales; Bromeliaceae
Description: long non-coding RNA (ACOM_LNC011812)
Source: RNAcentral